This 230-nucleotide long non-coding RNA is filed under the name Carica papaya (papaya). RNAcentral's name for it is "long non-coding RNA (CPAP_LNC012558)". The record is from RNAcentral. Lineage: Eukaryota; Viridiplantae; Streptophyta; Magnoliopsida; Brassicales; Caricaceae.
GGAAGGAAAGGAAAUCGCGAUCAAGGAGCACCGUGUGACCAUAGAAUCUGAAAAAAAUAAGGUAAGUUUCAUCUUUUUCAUUCUUUUCAUCUCUAUUUUCCAAAAAUCCCUUUUCUUAUUUCACACUAAUCGGCAUGUAGGUGUGAAAUCUGUUGUCCAAACUUCGAAGCAAGGUAGGGAGCUGCAGGGUGGCUGAGAGGAGACCACCGGGAUCCAAACUGAGGCUAAAU